GGCGCUGUAGUGUAGUGGUUAUCACUCAAGAUUCUGAUUCCAUAUCAUGUAUUCUUGUAACCCCGGUUCGAAUCCGGGCAGUGCCU
This 86-nucleotide transfer RNA is filed under the name Psilocybe cubensis. It matches the Rfam family "tRNA". From Rfam's summary of the family: Transfer RNA (tRNA) molecules are approximately 80 nucleotides in length. Their secondary structure includes four short double-helical elements and three loops (D, anti-codon, and T loops). Lineage: Eukaryota; Fungi; Basidiomycota; Agaricomycetes; Agaricales; Agrocybaceae. The record is from Rfam by way of RNAcentral.